GCUGACUUACCACUCUGAAAGUGCCCAAUCUCAUCUGAUCUGGGAAGCUAAGCAGGGUCAGACCUUGGAUGGGAAGUAGGCU
RNAcentral lists this ribosomal RNA (82 nucleotides) under Cavia porcellus (domestic guinea pig). The record is from RNAcentral. Lineage: Eukaryota; Metazoa; Chordata; Mammalia; Rodentia; Caviidae.